This is a non-coding RNA of Chrysolophus pictus (golden pheasant), 141 nucleotides long. Ensembl annotates it as small Cajal body-specific RNA 11. The record is from Ensembl. NCBI's taxonomy places the organism in Eukaryota, Metazoa, Chordata, Aves, Galliformes, Phasianidae.
GUGUCCUGACCUCAUUCUGGCUCUUCCCCUCACCGAAGCUGUGGUGGUGGGGUCUGGGGGUGGACGCAGAUCAACUUACCCUCUCAAGUUAGGAGGGUUGCUGAAGAUAUUUGCAAACCCUUAAAGGCAAGAGAGGACAUC